This 520-nucleotide ribosomal RNA is filed under the name bacterium enrichment culture clone ALO1_GLFRUDD03HF8ND. RNAcentral describes it as "bacterial SSU rRNA". It matches the Rfam family "Bacterial small subunit ribosomal RNA", at positions 9 to 520 of the family's 1533-position model. The record is from RNAcentral.
GAGUUUGAUCUUGGCUCAGAUUGAACGCUGGCGGCAGGCCUAACACAUGCAAGUCGAGCGGAUGACGGGAGCUUGCUCCUUGAUUCAGCGGCGGACGGGUGAGUAAUGCCUAGGAAUCUGCCUGGUAGUGGGGGACAACGUUUCGAAAGGAACGCUAAUACCGCAUACGUCCUACGGGAGAAAGCAGGGGACCUUCGGGCCUUGCGCUAUCAGAUGAGCCUAGGUCGGAUUAGCCUAGUUGGUGGGGUAAUGGACUCACCAAGGCGACGAUCCGUAACUGGUCUGAGAGGAUGAUCAGUCACACUGGAACUGAGACACGGUCCAGACUCCUACGGGAGGCAGCAGUGGGGAAUAUUGGACAAUGGGCGAAAGCCUGAUCCAGCCAUGCCGCGUGUGUGAAGAAGGUCUUCGGAUUGUAAAGCACUUUAAGUUGGGAGGAAGGGCAGUAAGUUAAUACCUUGCUGUUUUGACGUUUACCGACAGAAUAAGCACCGGCUAACUCUGUGCCAGCCGCCGACGG